Molecule: non-coding RNA, 30 nt
Filed under: Mus musculus (house mouse)
Lineage: Eukaryota; Metazoa; Chordata; Mammalia; Rodentia; Muridae
Source: RNAcentral
UGGCACAAAUAUUUGGAAUCUGUGAGUAAA